Molecule: ribosomal RNA, 465 nt
Filed under: uncultured bacterium
Lineage: Bacteria
Description: partial 16S ribosomal RNA
Rfam family: Bacterial small subunit ribosomal RNA
Source: RNAcentral
GACGAACGCUGGCGGCGUGCUUAACACAUGCAAGUCGAACGGAAAGGCCCUGCUUGCCGGGUACUCGGGUGGCGAACGGGUGAGUAACACGUGGGUGAUCUGCCCUGCACUUCGGGAUAAGCCUGGGAAACUGGGUCUAAUACCGGAUAGGAGCCAUUUUUAGUGUGAUGGUUGGAAAGUUUUUUCGGUGUAGGAUGAGCUCGCGGCCUAUCAGCUUGUUGGUGGGGUAAUGGCCUACCAAGGCGGCGACGGGUAGCCGGCCUGAGAGGGUGGACGGCCACAUUGGGACUGAGAUACGGCCCAGACUCCUACGGGAGGCAGCAGUGGGGAAUAUUGCACAAUGGGCGCAAGCCUGAUGCAGCGACGCCGCGUGGGGGAGGACGGCCUUCGGGUUGUAAACUCCUUUCGCUAGGGACGAAGCUUUUUGUGACGGUACCUAGAUAAGAAGCACCGGCUAACUACGUG